CUCGGGGGGCUGCAGUGGGGAAUAUUGGACAAUGGGCGAAAGCCUGAUCCAGCCAUGCCGCGUGUGUGAAGAAGGCCUUCGGGUUGUAAAGCACUUUCAGUGGGGAAGAAAGCCUUGGGGCUAAUACCCUCGAGGAAGGACAUCACCCACAGAAGAAGCACCGGCUAACUCCGUGCCAGCAGCCGCGGUAAUACGGAGGGUGCGAGCGUUAAUCGGAAUUACUGGGCGUAAAGCGCGCGUAGGCGGUCUGAUAAGCCGGUUGUGAAAGCCCCGGGCUCAACCUGGGAACGGCAUCCGGAACUGUCAGGCUAGAGUGCAGGAGAGGAAGGUAGAAUUCCCGGUGUAGCGGUGAAAUGCGUAGAGAUCGGGAGGAAUACCAGUGGCGAAGGCGGCCUUCUGGACUGACACUGACGCUGAGGUGCGAAAGCGUGGGUAGCAAACAGGAUUAGAUACCCCAGUAGUC
This 463-nucleotide ribosomal RNA is filed under the name Vreelandella stevensii. RNAcentral's name for it is "partial 16S ribosomal RNA". It matches the Rfam family "Bacterial small subunit ribosomal RNA", at positions 340 to 795 of the family's 1533-position model. The record is from RNAcentral. Lineage: Bacteria; Pseudomonadati; Pseudomonadota; Gammaproteobacteria; Oceanospirillales; Halomonadaceae.